AUAAUGAGAUGCAGCAGACCAGGGAGCUGAGGUGGCACAAGAGAAUGAUGGAUGUGCUGAGCCCUGCGAUUUCCCCAAAUGCGGGAAACUCGACUGCAUAAUUUGCGGUAGUGGGGGGCUGCGUUCGUGCUCUCCCCUG
This 139-nucleotide small nuclear RNA is filed under the name Dasypus novemcinctus (nine-banded armadillo). RNAcentral's name for it is "U1 spliceosomal RNA (ENSDNOG00000028975.1)". It matches the Rfam family "U1 spliceosomal RNA", at positions 29 to 166 of the family's 166-position model. From Rfam's summary of the family: U1 is a small nuclear RNA (snRNA) component of the spliceosome (involved in pre-mRNA splicing). Lineage: Eukaryota; Metazoa; Chordata; Mammalia; Cingulata; Dasypodidae. The record is from RNAcentral.